CUUGAGAGGAGUCUGUUAAUGACUACAAAGAUCCACAGCUGUUUACAGUUUAGACUCAGUGGUGGACCAGGCAAUAAGCUUGAUCCAACAAUGAAGUUGUGGGACUCUCACAGCAAGCAGAGACAUUGUGUCAACUGUCUGCUUGCUCCUAGUGAGUACCAGGACAGCUUAGCAGGGCCCCACGGAGCUGGGAAAGGAGCAGUUAAGAUGGUUCCCAGAACUUCCACAGCUGCUGCCAAGGGGUUGUUACAAGAUCACAGAAAGCCUUAAGGACAUGUCUGUGUGGGUGGGCAGCUGAUCAGUUUAUUUAUUGAUUGACCAGAUAGUAUUCAGUACAAAAAUUCAAAGGGGAAGGACGAAAAUAUUUCUGGUAAGAUGAAACCCUCCAUAUUUACCAAAUAGAUUAUCCCCAACAGGAAAUACUUACUUGAUGGCUUGAUUGCAGAGCCAGGCAGGUCCUCGGCCUCACUGGCUUCACUGGAGUGCUGACAAUUUACCAAUGGAAGAUCUGUGCCCCCAAGACAGUUUCUUAAUGCAAUGGCAAGCUCUUAAAUUUAUGAAAAGCAGGACACGGGAAAUACAAACAUGAAAUAUCUUUUAUUCAGUCUCUUUUCUCACAUACAGGAUUUUCUAAUAUACACAGCUCCAAAAAAGCAGGAAGAUAAAGCAGUAGAAAUGUGUAAAUUCAUAACAUUCUGUUUGAAACUGAACUCUAAUUUUUGACUCAUAUAUGAAGUGCACCUACAGUAUAAAAAGGGGAGCAGAAUAGCUACUGAAAAGCAACCUCCUUUAAGGGCACAGCUGUGCUGCAACUUUCCUUGACUUUCUGACUGCCUAAGACCUUAAGCACUCAAGACUUGCAGCACCAUUUUAGACUCAGAGCCCUGCCCACCCUCAGCUUUCAAAAUAUCCUUUUCAUGUGAGAAGGUUAAAACUGGAUGCCCAAUCUCCAGAGUGUGCCUGUGAACUGCCCUCUGAAAAUAUACCACUCUACCCUGUGCCACUGAUGCUAAAAAGAGCUGUCACCAGAGAAGAUAAAGGGAUUUCUAUGAUCACACAGCUUUUCCAAAUUCAAGCUCACAUCAGAGAGUGAAGGAAUGUCUUUGCGUGGCACCUGCCUACAUAUUUUCUGGAGUGACUGCAAUCUAAAUAUUGCCAGCUGAUAAGAACAAGAAUACUUUACUGUGCCAUGUAACAGUGUUCACCAGGACUGUCUGUUGUUAUUCAGCAGCAGGAGGUCAGAAAACAGGGCAAAAAUCUGUACCAUAAAUGGAUCAUACUGGUGAUUCCAGGCCUCAUGGACCAAAAUAUCGCAUGACUACAUAAUUUGUGUCUGUUCAUGCACCCUCAUUUUACAUUCAAUUUCUUCAACGGUUUGGAAAAGUCUUUUAGCAUCAAGUAAGUCAGAUCAAAGUAAACGUAUAAUAUGCAUGAACAGGUCCACUUUGUAUAAUAUUAACAAUGUAAUUUCUGUCAGAAAAAUGAAAUUAAGAAUGUAAAAAAAAAAAAAAUUAAAAAGUGAUUAAAAGCAACGAGGCAGCAAGCAAAGCAGUGGAUGUCUGUACUUGGGGGAGGGAGGGGUUACUGUAACACACAAAGCUUUUUGUCAUCCCACUCAGCCCUCUCUAUAGCUUAUUGCUACAAUAACAUCUUGGACUGUAGAUACUAUUCUCUAUUGAUACCUAAGGGGCAAAGCCUUUAGGUGAUACCCAUUGCAAAAUAUUUUUAUUUCUCAUCCAUUUAAGAUGUCCAUUUAUACUCCCUUAAGAAACGGAAACUGUUUUUUUUGUAGACUCUUAUCUCAGUUUUGGUUAAAGUCUGAAUCAUAGCACUUACAUCUUUUCCCUCUACUUAUUUUUCACCUGUAAUAUGAAAGCAAAAGAAGCUACUGCAGCAAGUGCAUGCCACUGUGUCAGGUUGUGGGAUAUAGGAUUUAAAAAGACCUGCUAUAAUUUCAACGUGCUAUGCUUCAUCAAUUGAGUAGCGAAAGACUGUUGCAGCUUUUUGUUUAAUUUUGUUAAAAAAUAAAUAUGUGCUACCCCAUGGAUAAGGUUUUAUU
Molecule: long non-coding RNA, 2059 nt
Organism: Cyanistes caeruleus (blue tit)
Lineage: Eukaryota; Metazoa; Chordata; Aves; Passeriformes; Paridae
Source: Ensembl